RNAcentral lists this ribosomal RNA (444 nucleotides) under uncultured bacterium. RNAcentral's name for it is "bacterial SSU rRNA". It matches the Rfam family "Bacterial small subunit ribosomal RNA", at positions 30 to 496 of the family's 1533-position model. The record is from RNAcentral.
AUUGAACGCUGGCGGCAUGCCUAAUACAUGCAAGUCGAACGAUGUAGCAAUACAUAGUGGCGCACGGGAGAGUAACACGUGGAUAAUCUCCCCCUCGAGAGAGGAAUAACUAGUCGAAAGAUUGGCUAAUACUUCAUAAGACCACAGAAACUAAUGUUUCAGGGGUAAAAGUCGUAAGACGCUUGAGGUUGAGUCUGCGUCCCAUUAGCUAGUUGGUGAGGUAACGGCUCACCAAGGCGACGAUGGGUAGCUGGUCUGAGAGGAUGAUCAGCCUCACUGGAACUGACACACGGUCCAGACUCCUACGGGAGCAGCAGUAGGGAAUAUUGCACAAUGGGCGAAAGCCUAAUGCAGCGACGCCGCGUGAGUGAUGAAGGACUUCGGUUUGUAAAGCUCUGUUGUCAGGGAAUAAAAAAAUGAAUGUACCUGACGAGAAAGGACCGG